Molecule: ribosomal RNA, 116 nt
Filed under: uncultured bacterium
Lineage: Bacteria
Description: partial 16S ribosomal RNA
Rfam family: Bacterial small subunit ribosomal RNA
Source: RNAcentral
CGUUCCCGGGCCUUGUACACACCGCCCGUCACACCACGAAAGUGGGCAACACCCGAAGCCGGUGGCCUAACCCUUGUGGAGGGAGCCGUCGAAGGUGGGGACUCGCGAUUGGGGUG